This is a long non-coding RNA of Bombus pyrosoma, 467 nucleotides long. RefSeq lists it as uncharacterized. The record is from RefSeq and is a predicted model, not a curated record. Lineage: Eukaryota; Metazoa; Arthropoda; Insecta; Hymenoptera; Apidae. The transcript has 2 exons.
UAAACGCGUCCACCUCGAUACUUCUUCCGGUCUAAACGGGAUACCAGGGGAAUAUGUAUGACUGAUCGAGAUCCACGGCCUCGUUCGAUGCCUAGUCAAUGGAAUUGUAUAGCUACGCGAUAUGGAAAGAACUCUAUCUGGUUUCAAGCGAUCGAAUAGGAUAUUAAAUAUUUUUAAGACACGACAAAUUUUGUAGAAAGAAAAUUAAAAGGUCGAAACAUUGUAGCUAAUAUUGGAUAUUAAGGAAUCUGUAGGGCGGGAAACAAGGAAAGAUAUUUCUAACUUGUGCUUUGUGAAAAUUAUGACUCACAAAAUAAGUAACGAUUACUGCAAGUACUAUUUUAAAGAUAACUAUAAAAUAUUGUUUAUAUAUGAUGAUAAAGUAAAAUAUAUCGCGCUGAAUAAACCAGGGACUAUUUUCUAGGAAACUAAAAACAGAUAAACUGAAUUUAUGAGCAGAUGAUGCA